RNAcentral lists this ribosomal RNA (422 nucleotides) under uncultured prokaryote. Its description in RNAcentral is "bacterial SSU rRNA". It matches the Rfam family "Bacterial small subunit ribosomal RNA", at positions 355 to 774 of the family's 1533-position model. The record is from RNAcentral.
UGAGGAAUAUUGGUCAAUGGAGGCAACUCUGAACCAGCCACGUCGCGUGAAGGAUGAAGGUCUUAUGGAUUGUAAACUUCUUUUAUACAGGAAUAAAUUGAGUCACGUGUGGCUUUUUGCAUGUACUGUAUGAAUAAGGAUCGGCUAACUCCGUGCCAGCAGCCGCGGUAAUACGGAGGAUCCGGGCGUUAUCCGAAUUUAUUGGGUUUAAAGGGUGCGCAGGCGGGAUGUUAAGUCGGCGGUGAAAUUUUGCGGCUCAACCGUAAAAGUGCCUUCGAAACUGGCAUUCUUGAGUAUGGAUGAAGUAGGCGGAAUUUGUGGUGUAGCGGUGAAAUGCUUAGAUAUCACGAGGAACUCCGAUUGCGCAGGCAGCUUACUAAACCAUAACUGACGCUCAUGCACGAAGGCGUGGGGAUCAAACA